RNAcentral lists this ribosomal RNA (626 nucleotides) under soil bacterium Cycl-S1N-M1LLLSSL-3. RNAcentral's name for it is "bacterial SSU rRNA". It matches the Rfam family "Bacterial small subunit ribosomal RNA", at positions 126 to 747 of the family's 1533-position model. The record is from RNAcentral.
CUGCCUGAUGGAGGGGGAUAACUACUGGAAACGGUAGCUAAUACCGCAUAACGUCGCAAGACCAAAGAGGGGGACCUUCGGGCCACUUGCCAUCAGAUGUGCCCAGAUGGGAUUAGCUAGUAGGUGGGGUAAUGGCUCACCUAGGCGACGAUCCCUAGCUGGUCUGAGAGGAUGACCAGCCACACUGGAACUGAGACACGGUCCAGACUCCUACGGGAGGCAGCAGUGGGGAAUAUUGCACAAUGGGCGCAAGCCUGAUGCAGCCAUGCCGCGUGUGUGAAGAAGGCCUUCGGGUUGUAAAGCACUUUCAGCGAGGAGGAAGGUGGUGAACUUAAUACGUUCAUCAAUUGACGUUACUCGCAGAAGAAGCACCGGCUAACUCCGUGCCAGCAGCCGCGGUAAUACGGAGGGUGCAAGCGUUAAUCGGAAUUACUGGGCGUAAAGCGCACGCAGGCGGUUUGUUAAGUCAGAUGUGAAAUCCCCGGGCUCAACCUGGGAACUGCAUUUGAAACUGGCAAGCUAGAGUCUCGUAGAGGGGGGUAGAAUUCCAGGUGUAGCGGUGAAAUGCGUAGAGAUCUGGAGGAAUACCGGUGGCGAAGGCGGCCCCCUGGACGAAGACUGACGCU